GCCCUAUUGGCGAAAUUGGAUAUCGCGUCCGCCUUCUAAGCGGAAGAUUCUGGGUUCGAUCCCCAGAUAGGGUU
This is a transfer RNA of 74 nucleotides. It matches the Rfam family "tRNA". From Rfam's summary of the family: Transfer RNA (tRNA) molecules are approximately 80 nucleotides in length. The record is from Rfam.